RNAcentral lists this non-coding RNA (29 nucleotides) under Rattus norvegicus (Norway rat). Lineage: Eukaryota; Metazoa; Chordata; Mammalia; Rodentia; Muridae. The record is from RNAcentral.
UGAUUUUGCCAGCUACAGGUAGUUUCUGC